This 460-nucleotide ribosomal RNA is filed under the name uncultured bacterium. RNAcentral's name for it is "partial 16S ribosomal RNA". It matches the Rfam family "Bacterial small subunit ribosomal RNA", at positions 338 to 795 of the family's 1533-position model. The record is from RNAcentral.
CCUACGGGUGGCAGCAGUGAGGAAUAUUGGUCAAUGGGAGGAAUCCUGAACCAGCCAUGCCGCGUGCAGGACGACGGCUCUACGAGUUGUAAACUGCUUUUGUACCGGGGUAAAAUGCUCUACGAGUAGGGUUUUGAAAGUACGGUACGAAUAAGGAUCGGCUAACUCCGUGCCAGCAGCCGCGGUAAUACUGAGGAUCCGAGCGUUAUCCGGAUUUAUUGGGUUUAAAGGGUGCGUAGGCGGGUUAUCAAGUCAGCGGUAAAAUCGUGGAGCUCAACCUGUGGCCUGCAUUUGAAACUGGUUUUCUUGAGUACUGGAGAGGCAGACGGAAUUCCUAGUGUAGCGGUGAAAUGCGUAGAUAUUAGGAGGAAAACCAGUGGCGAAGGCGGUCUGCUGGACAGCAACUGACGCUGAGGCGCGAAAGCGUGGGGAGCAAACAGGAUUAGAUACCCGAGUAGUC